This 459-nucleotide ribosomal RNA is filed under the name uncultured bacterium. Its description in RNAcentral is "partial 16S ribosomal RNA". It matches the Rfam family "Bacterial small subunit ribosomal RNA", at positions 338 to 794 of the family's 1533-position model. The record is from RNAcentral.
CCUACGGGAGGCUGCCGUGAGGAAUAUUGGUCAAUGGACGAGAGUCUGAACCAGCCAAGUAGCGUGAAGGAUGACUGCCCUAUGGGUUGUAAACUUCUUUUAUAUGGGAAUAAAAUGUUCCACGUGUGGGAUUUUGUAUGUACCAUAUGAAUAAGGAUCGGCUAACUCCGUGCCAGCAGCCGCGGUAAUACGGAGGAUCCGAGCGUUAUCCGGAUUUAUUGGGUUUAAAGGGAGCGUAGGUGGAUUGUUAAGUCAGUUGUGAAAGUUUGCGGCUCAACCGUAAAAUUGCAGUUGAAACUGGCAGUCGUGAGUACAGUAGAGGUGGGCGGAAUUCGUGGUGUAGCGGUGAAAUGCUUAGAUAUCACGAAGAACUCCGAUUGCGAAGGCAGCUCACUGGACUGCAACUGACACUGAGGCUCGAAAGUGUGGGUAUCAAACAGGAUUAGAUACCCCAGUAGU